AGAGUUUGAUCAUGGCUCAGAACGAACGCUGGCGGCGUGCCUAACACAUGCAAGUCGAACGGAUUUGAGGGGCUUGCUCCUCAAGUUAGUGGCGCACGGGUGAGUAACGCGUAGAUAAUCUGCCUGAUGAUCCGGGAUAACACUUCGAAAGAGGUGCUAAUACCGGAUAAGCCCACGGUAUCUUUGGAUUCUGCGGGAAAAGGGGGGGACCUUCGGGCCUUCUGUCAUCAGAUGAGUCUGCGUACCAUUAGCUAGUUGGUAGGGUAAUGGCCUACCAAGGCUACGAUGGUUAGCUGGUUUGAGAGAAUGAUCAGCCACACUGGAACUGAGACACGGUCCAGACUCCUACGGGAGGCAGCAGUGGGGAAUUUUGCGCAAUGGGCGAAAGCCUGACGCAGCAACGCCGCGUGAGUGAUGAAGGCUUUCGGGUCGUAAAGCUCUGUCGAGGGGAAAGAAGUGUAUUGUGGCUAAUAUCCACGAUACUUGACGGGACCCCAAAGGAAGCACCGGCUAACUCCCGUGCCAGCAGCCGCGGUA
This 537-nucleotide ribosomal RNA is filed under the name uncultured Pseudomonadota bacterium. RNAcentral describes it as "bacterial SSU rRNA". It matches the Rfam family "Bacterial small subunit ribosomal RNA", at positions 8 to 522 of the family's 1533-position model. Lineage: Bacteria; Pseudomonadati; Pseudomonadota. The record is from RNAcentral.